Dicentrarchus labrax (European seabass) is the source of this 3878-nucleotide long non-coding RNA. RefSeq lists it as uncharacterized. NCBI's taxonomy places the organism in Eukaryota, Metazoa, Chordata, Actinopteri, Moronidae. The transcript has 4 exons. The record is from RefSeq and is a predicted model, not a curated record.
AAAAAGGUGACAAUAAAAGUAUUACCAACAAUCACAAAACUAAGAAAACAGAAGGUGAGUCAGGAAGGAGCUGCCUAUAUAAAGUAGUCCCAGCAAAGGCACAAUACCAAACAAUUUCCAGGAAACUGUGUUGCAUCAUUUCUCCCGGUCUGAGGACAACUUGGCCACUCUAUUUACAAUGGUUCUGGCUGCAUGUGAGUAUUAACAAAACUUGGUUUAAAUACUGUUUAGAAUAGAAUAGAAUAGAAUGCCUUUAUUGUCACUGUACACAUGUACGAUGAGAUUAAAUAGCCAACUCCAAUCCAUUUAUGAUGUUACGACUGUUUUGUCUUUAUAUCUGAUAUUUUCUAUAAUUCAGUGUUUUCAAAGCAGGUUUAUUUAACGUGGUAGAUACCUCGGAACGGGAAAAUUAAGUAAAUAAGCAGGCAUAUAACUUGGGUACUUCUUGAGUAAUUGUUUUACAUGCAUAUGGUUCAACAUUUAUUGUCAUUUCUUGAUAUCUCUAGAGGAGAGGGAUCUAUUUGAUAAAAUGUCCCGACGGAGUGGCUCCAAAGAAAGAAUCAGCGGUCAGACCACCUGCAAAAUACAGAGUAUACAGGAGAAAUAUCAGAAAAUGGUGCACCAAGCUGUGACAGGGCCCUGCCUUUCACUCGACAAUAAAAGAUACAGGGAUACUUCCUGUACAUUCAUCAGCACCGGAUAGAGCCCCAGAACCUGCAGCCCCUUCCAGUCCUAUUUUGAUCACAGAUACUCCAGUGUCCAGACCCACUGGCAAUCAGUAUCCAUCCACUCCAGAAGAUCCUGAAUCACCUAUUGUGAUCCCUGAGGGUCAGGACUUGAGAGCAGCAGUGGAAUUAUCGACACUGGGGAACAUUCUUCAUCACACAAUGGACUCUCCCUCUACAGGCAAAGUCUGAUACAGGAAUAUGUCCUGUACAGUCAUCAGCACCAGAUACUCCAUCCAUUCUAGGAGGUCCUGAACCAUCUUUUGUGAUUCCCAACACCCAGGACUUGAGAGCGGUAGCAGAAUUAUUGACCCAGGGGAACGUUCUUCUUCACACACAAACUCCAGAACCUGCAUGUCUGCCGAACUGGACUGAUGCACAGAUACAGGACAGAGGCCACAGAACAACCUGCUCACAGUGAGAAUCCAUGCAACACACUGCUGGUACAAAGAGCAAGAGUGCAACAGCCGCAUCAAAGCAAGAUUUUAAAAUACACAAGAUGAGUUUGAUGGUCUGCUAAUGCGAACCAGAGCGCAACUGUUGACAUUUAGAACAACAAAGUCUGUGGUUGUAUACAAUGCAAAGAGAUUAGCCAAUAUUGCUUUAAAACAAGUAGGGAAAAGCCAGUAAAUUUAAAAAGAAAUUGGUCAUCUUAGAAAGGAGGUAAGAGUGAUGAAGGAAAUACUGAUAGAUGCAGAAGUAAAUGAGUAGCAUGUGUUAUUAUGCAAAAUAAUAAUUAGUGUCUGAUAUCCCCUAUUUUAUUUCGUAGUGUUUAAUCAUGGCUUGUUAAUGUUUACACAAAGUAAAACAACAAACGAUGUGUUAUUGUGAUUAGUGAUGAUGAAAGCCAUACUGAAAAUUAUGAAUCCAAAAGCAUUUCAGAUGUAAAGGAGGAAAUUAGGCAAAUGGUUAAUGAUAUAGUGAAGUAAAUUGGCUUGAAUAUGACCCAUUAUCCCCACUCAGCAGUUUAUCUGCUGUUGAAGAUGAACUGGGCAAAAUAGAAGAGGAGAUUGUGGAAUUGACCACUGCACAGAGUCUUCUGCAACAGAGUUUGCUGAACCAGAUACAAAAACCCACACCCCUCAUCACAAGUCUCAGAAUGUGUAGAGUCAAAUCCCAAAGUCCAAAAUGUAGUAAAACAUAAGUUAGGAGAGGUUUUAGCAGAGGCGUUCUAAAUUUUGUACUGAGAGGUCCAUCAGUGUCCAAAGAUGUGUGUGCAGUAUUAAAAACAUCUAACAGCUGUAAUACUGAAACAUUUUUGAGUGAAAUUGAACAGGUCAUGCAAAGCAAUUAAAAAAUGACGUCAGAUGAUAUGCUUUAGAUCGUUGUCACAGCAGCAUUAGGCAAACGUGGUGGUGUGAUGCGCAAAUUGGGAAAUGUCAGCUGAUGAUCAGAUUAUUCAAAAGAAAACAGGCAUGUCUCUGUGUUUCUCUGUGUGUAGCCCGUUAUAAGUACCCUCACAAAUGAAAUCAAGCACAAGUGGGAUUUGCCUCAAAUCAUAAAGUCUCACUAACAGAUGGGUAAAAAUUUGAACAUAUUGGUGUUAAAAUUCUUGUUUUUCACCACAAUCAAGGAACGAAGAAAUUGGACAUGUAUCAAACCCAAGAACAACCCCAUCCAAAAACACUAUGGCUUUAUCUGUACCAGGAUCAGUACCACAUUACAAGUAUUUCUGCUGUCUAUGACACACACAACAGGAUUUAAAACCCAUACGCUGUCAUUGUCGUUGUGAGUGUUUUGUCUUAACAGACACAAAGAAGUGACAGAAUCCAUAAACCGUGAAAGAUUCAUACCAUGUAAUAACAUUAAAUAUUGUGAUGAUUGCGGUAGCCUCUCCUCAGUAAGUCACCAAACAAACGCUGCAGGUCAUAAAUGCCAAAAACCGAAUGUGGUCAAUACAGAAAUCUGUUAGGCUCAAACAUACAACAUCAGUGUUAUAUACGAUCUGAAUAACCACCAAAGCCACAGACUUAAUAUGUCUCUUUGACUUUGAAACAACAACACACAUCAACAAACAUGUAGCCAACUUUGUCUGUGCAACCAAAAAUGGUGGACCUCUUGUGCAACUUCAAGACAAUCUGUGUAAAGAAUGUGUUAAGACAUUCCUAAAACGAAACCAAGAUGCUUCAGGCUACCCCAGUUUUGCAAAAGAUGAGGAAUCAAAAGCAAAAUACAUACAGGACUACUACGACAAAGAGGGGAUUCAGCUAAAUCCAGAAAAAAUUGCUGUUGCUCAAUUCUUUAUGGGGUUGUUUUUCAAUGCAGGAAAACCAGGUCACAUGUGAGCUAGUAAAAGAUCCUGAGCAAUUCACAUGUUUAUUGACCAGUAUGACGUCAGACAGUUUUCAUUUGUGUCUGAUCACAUUGCCCUUGUUCAGUGGAGACAUGCAGUAGCACAGGCUGCUAAAACUAAAAAUAUUAACUUCAUCGGGGGAAUGACAACACCAUAUGCACGACUUAUGCUCUAUGACGUGAUGGACAGGUUAGGGGAGAGAUCCAUCUAUUCUGACACAGACAGUGUUGUUUUUGUGUCAAAGGUUGCAGACUGGGCCCCCGAAACAGGUCGCUUUUUAGGGGACCUUACCGAUGAGGUUAAUGGAGAUACUGGAGACUACGACUACAUUGUUGUGUUUGAGUCAGGGGGUCCGUAAUGCUACGCUCAUCGGACACUCCAAAACAAUACCCAAUUGAAAUGGCAAGGGAACCACUCUAAACGCUCACAAUGCUUCUGUCGUCACACAUGAUGCCCUUGUGAGCCUUGUUUACAGGUUUGCGAGCCUUGUCAUGACAACACAAACUAUAAUGACAAAGUCAGACGCAAAUAAAAAGGCAUUCGAACUGGAAAACAAAUCAGUUGAAAAAAGAUUCCAAGUUGUGUACACCAAACGCCGUAUCUUUUCUGAUCGGACAACAUUGCCCUACAGCUCCUGAUAUGGGAGUUAGAGAAAUUGAAGAUUUUGAUUUUAGACUGCAACAUCCUUUUAGUCUAAUUGUACCAGGUCCCUCAAACAGCAGAAAAACAUAUUUUUUAAGAAAGCUAAUGGAAAAUGCAGACAAAUUGAUUUCAAAGAGCAUUGACAUUAUUGUAUAUAUUUAUUCAUUCUGGCAACCUUUGUACAAUGAUUUGAUGAAAAUAAGAAACUUUAAUUUUGU